AUACGUAGGUGGCAAGCGUUAUCCGGAUUUAUUGGGCGUAAAGAGAGUGCAGGCGGUUUUCUAAGUCUGAUGUGAAAGCCUUCGGCUUAACCGGAGAAGUGCAUCGGAAACUGGAUAACUUGAGUGCAGAAGAGGGUAGUGGAACUCCAUGUGUAGCGGUGGAAUGCGUAGAUAUAUGGAAGAACACCAGUGGCGAAGGCGGCUACCUGGUCUGCAACUGACGCUGAGACUCGAAAGCAUGGGUAGCGAACAGGAUUAGAUACCCUGGUAGUCCAUGCCGUAAACGAUGAGUGCUAGGUGUUGGAGGGUUUCCGCCCUUCAGUGCCGGAGCUAACGCAUUAAGCACUCCGCCUGGGGAGUACGACCGCAAGGUUGAAACUCAAAGGAAUUGACGGGGGCCCGCACAAGCGGUGGAGCAUGUGGUUUAAUUCGAAGCUACGCGAAGAACCUUACCAGGUCUUGACAUCUUGCGCCAACCCUAGAGAUAGGGCGUUUCCUUCGGGAACGCAAUGACAGGUGGUGCAUGGUCGUCGUCAGCUCGUGUCGUGAGAUGUUGGGUUAAGUCCCGCAACGAGCGCAACCCUUGUUACUAGUUGCCAGCAUUAAGUUGGGCACUCUAGUGAGACUGCCGGUGACAAACCGGAGGAAGGUGGGGACGACGUCAGAUCAUCAUGCCCCUUAUGACCUGGGCUACACACGUGCUACAAUGGACGGUACAACGAGUCGCGAACUCGCGAGGGCAAGCAAAUCUCUUAAAACCGUUCUCAGUUCGGACUGCAGGCUGCAACUCGCCUGCACGAAGUCGGAAUCGCUAGUAAUCGCGGAUCAGCAUGCCGCGGUGAAUACGUUCCCGGGCCUUGUACACACCGCCCGUCACACCAUGAGAGUUUGUAACACCCAAAGUCGGUGGGGUAACCUUUUAGGAGCCAGCCGCCUAAGGUGGGACAGAUGAUUAGGGUG
This 960-nucleotide ribosomal RNA is filed under the name uncultured bacterium. RNAcentral describes it as "bacterial SSU rRNA". It matches the Rfam family "Bacterial small subunit ribosomal RNA", at positions 523 to 1482 of the family's 1533-position model. The record is from RNAcentral.